RNAcentral lists this ribosomal RNA (531 nucleotides) under uncultured Terrabacter sp. Its description in RNAcentral is "bacterial SSU rRNA". It matches the Rfam family "Bacterial small subunit ribosomal RNA", at positions 355 to 896 of the family's 1533-position model. Lineage: Bacteria; Bacillati; Actinomycetota; Actinomycetes; Micrococcales; Intrasporangiaceae. The record is from RNAcentral.
UGGGGAAUAUUGCACAAUGGGCGAAAGCCUGAUGCAGCGACGCCGCGUGAGGGAUGACGGCCUUCGGGUUGUAAACCUCUUUCAGCAGGGAAGAAGCGAAAGUGACGGUACCUGCAGAAGAAGCACCGGCUAACUACGUGCCAGCAGCCGCGGUAAUACGUAGGGUGCGAGCGUUGUCCGGAAUUAUUGGGCGUAAAGAGCUUGUAGGUGGUUUGUCGCGUCUGCUGUGAAAAUCCGAGGCUCAACCUCGGACUUGCAGUGGGUACGGGCAGACUAGAGUGUGGUAGGCGAGACUGGAAUUCCUGGUGUAGCGGUGGAAUGCGCAGAUAUCAGGAGGAACACCGAUGGCGAAGGCAGGUCUCUGGGCCAUUACUGACACUGAGAAGCGAAAGCAUGGGGAGCGAACAGGAUUAGAUACCCUGGUAGUCCAUGCCGUAAACGUUGGGAACUAGGUGUGGGUCUCAUUCCACGAGAUCCGUGCCGCAGCUAACGCAUUAAGUUCCCCGCCUGGGGAGUACGGCCGCAAGGCUA